Molecule: long non-coding RNA, 1069 nt
Filed under: Piliocolobus tephrosceles (Ugandan red Colobus)
Lineage: Eukaryota; Metazoa; Chordata; Mammalia; Primates; Cercopithecidae
Description: lncRNA (ENSPTEG00000006534.1)
Source: RNAcentral
UUGAUUUAAUUUGAUUUAAUUUGAUUUCAUUUAAUUUGAUUUAAUUUGAUUUCAUUUAAUUUGAUUUAAUUUGAUCUAUCUUUAUCAAGUUUUUUUUUAUUUAUUUUUUUUUUUUUCUUCGCGUUUUUAUAAAAUGCAAAAAAAAAUAAAAUGAUAUAAAAUGACGUAUAUAAUACAAAAAAAAAUAAUAAAGUAAUAAAAAAUAAAAAAAAUAUGGAUAAUAAGAAAACACAAGAUGAUCAAGUUUUAUUUUUUGACAUAGGUACCAGUGUAAAUCAUCUCACAGGAAAUGAAAUUUAUUUUUAUUCUAAUAAUGAUGCUAAGCAAUUUAAAAAAAAUAACGCAUAUAAGUCGCAUAAAAAUGACAUAUGUUCUAACGAUGACGAAACGUUGCAUACACUAAAUGAAAAAAAAGAUAAUUACAAAUUGCAAGAUCAGGACAACCAUAAUAACAAAAAUAAUGAAGUAAAACAAAAAUGCUGCAGAUUGGAUAAAAACAUAUCCAAUGGUAUAGAUUAUUAUCUUAGUUCAGAACAAAAAAAUGAAGAACGUAUUUAUGAAGAAAGAGAAAAAAUUGUAUUCGAGCAAGAAUUUGAUAAGGUUAAAGAUAUUUAUAAUGUUGAAGAAAUAAUGAAAAUUAUCAAUAAUUUGAAUUCUAUUAGAAAUGAGAUAGAAACAGCUAUAUAUAAAAAAUUAGAAAAAAAAUAUAAAACUAUUAUUACUAAUACAAUUAAAGUAAAAGAAAUAGAAAAUUACCUUACCAAUAUUAAAAAACUAUUAACAAACAAUAUAAAUGAAUUAAAAGUAUUACAAAAAAAAAAAUAUAAAGAAAGUUUAAAUAUUGUAGAUUUAGUUUCUCAAAAAAAAAAUUAUCAAAAAAUUAAUUUAAUUAUUUUAAUUAUAUAUAUCGCAUAUAUUUACGAUAAGUUAAUUUUUAAAAAUAUACUAAAAAAAAAUUAUGAAUACGCAGCUCUAGUAUAUUAUGAAUUAUCUAGUUACAUAAAUAAUAACCAUGAGCUCUUAAAAAAUAUUAAAUGUAUAAAUAAAUUUAAAGAAAAAAUGCACUCAG